GCCCAGAUGGUGAAGAUAGUAGACACGGCGGUCUUAAAAUCCGCCGCGCUAUGACUGGUGCGUGCCGGUUAAAAUCCGGCUCCGGGCGCCA
Molecule: transfer RNA, 91 nt
Filed under: Burkholderia ubonensis
Lineage: Bacteria; Pseudomonadati; Pseudomonadota; Betaproteobacteria; Burkholderiales; Burkholderiaceae
Description: tRNA-Leu
Rfam family: tRNA
About the family: Transfer RNA (tRNA) molecules are approximately 80 nucleotides in length. Their secondary structure includes four short double-helical elements and three loops (D, anti-codon, and T loops).
Source: RNAcentral